Molecule: ribosomal RNA, 200 nt
Filed under: uncultured bacterium
Lineage: Bacteria
Description: partial 16S ribosomal RNA
Rfam family: Bacterial small subunit ribosomal RNA
Source: RNAcentral
CGGAUUGGAGUCUGCAACUCGACUCCAUGAAGCUGGAUUCGCUAGUAAUCGCGCAUCAGCCAUGGCGCGGUGAAUACGUUCCCGGGCCUUGUACACACCGCCCGUCAAGCCAUGGAAGCCGGGAGUGCCUGAAGUGUGCAACCGCAAGGAGCGCCCUAAGGUAAAAACUGGUGACUGGGGCUAAGUCGUAACAAGGUACC